UAUGUGAUCGUCUCUCGCAUAUCAAUAAGCGGAGGAAAAGAAACUAACAAGGAUUCCCCUAGUAACGGCGAGUGAAGCGGGAAGAGCUCAAAUUUGAAAUCUUAAAGGGUUUCCCUUUACGAAUUGUAGUUUAAAGAAGUGUUUUCUGUUGAGGUUUUGGUAAAAGUUCUUUGGAAUAGGACAUCAUAGAGGGUGAGAAUCCCGUAUUUGACCUUUACUUUCAACUUUGUGAUACACUUUCAAAGAGUCGGAUUGUUUGGGAAUGCAGUCCAAAAUGGGUGGUAAAUUUCAUCUAAAGCUAAAUAUUGGCGAGAGACCGAUAGCGAACAAGUACCGUGAGGGAAAGAUGAAAAGAACUUCGAAAAGAGAGUUAAACAGUACGUGAAAUUGUCAAAAGGGAAGCGUUUGACACCAGUGUUGUUUUUCUGAAAAUCAAUUAAAGAACUGUUUAUGCUAAGUUGUUUAGACUUUAUCAGCUAACUGUUUAGUUUUGAGCUUUUCUUUAAUGCACUUUUCAGUUAACAAGUCAACAUCAAUUUCUUUUGCUGUAAAAAAGCUUGAGGAAGGUGGCUUGAGAUUCGUCUUAAGUGUUUAUAGCCUCUUGCCUAUGCAGUCGGAGAGAUUGAGGUCUGCAGGCGUAGAUCCUUCGGGGCUAAAUGCAUUUGUGCUAAGUUAUAGCAUUUUAUAGACAACUUGUUGACUAUGAUUUGUCUUGUAGCUUACUCGCUUAUGUUAUUUUACCUACGCUUAGGAUGUUGAUCUACAGAGCGAGAGU
Molecule: ribosomal RNA, 775 nt
Filed under: uncultured Neocallimastigales
Lineage: Eukaryota; Fungi; Neocallimastigomycota; Neocallimastigomycetes; Neocallimastigales
Description: partial large subunit ribosomal RNA
Rfam family: Eukaryotic large subunit ribosomal RNA
Source: RNAcentral